GCCAGGCUUGGUGGCACAUGCCUGUAAUCCCAGCCACUUGAGAGACUGAGGUAGGAGGAUCACAAGUUCCAGGGCAUCCUCAGCAACUUAGCAAGGCCCUGGGCAACAUAGCGAGACCCUACGUCAA
RNAcentral lists this small RNA (127 nucleotides) under Marmota monax (woodchuck). The record is from RNAcentral. Lineage: Eukaryota; Metazoa; Chordata; Mammalia; Rodentia; Sciuridae.